This 73-nucleotide transfer RNA is filed under the name Camelus bactrianus (Bactrian camel). It matches the Rfam family "tRNA". Rfam says of the family: Transfer RNA (tRNA) molecules are approximately 80 nucleotides in length. Their secondary structure includes four short double-helical elements and three loops (D, anti-codon, and T loops). Lineage: Eukaryota; Metazoa; Chordata; Mammalia; Artiodactyla; Camelidae. RNAcentral also lists the same sequence under 2 other names. The record is from Rfam by way of RNAcentral.
GAGGAUAUAGUUCAAAUGGUAGAGUGCAUGCCUAGCAUGCACAAGGUCCUGGGUUGAAUCCCCAGUAUCUCCU